This 253-nucleotide ribosomal RNA is filed under the name uncultured bacterium. RNAcentral describes it as "partial 16S ribosomal RNA". It matches the Rfam family "Bacterial small subunit ribosomal RNA", at positions 524 to 776 of the family's 1533-position model. The record is from RNAcentral.
GACAGAGGGUGCGAACGUUGUUCGGAAUUACUGGGCGUAAAGCGCGCGUAGGCGGCUUUGCAAGUCGGGUGUGAAAUCCCCAGGCUUAACCUGGGAACUGCAUUCGAGACUGCAUUGCUAGAGUAUGGGAGAGGGAAGUGGAAUUUCCGGUGUAGCGGUGAAAUGCGUAGAUAUCGGAAGGAACAUCAGUGGCGAAAGCGACUUCCUGGACCAAUACUGACGCUCAUGUGCGAAAGCGUGGGGAGCAAACAGG